CCUACGGGAGGCAGCAGUGGGGAAUAUUGCACAAUGGGCGCAAGCUGAUGCAGCCAUGCCGCGUGUAUGAUGAAGGCCUUCGGGUUGUAAAGUACUUUCAGCGGGGAGGAAGGGAGUAAAGUUAAUACCUUUGCUCAUUGACGUUACCCGCAGAAGAUGCACCGGCUAACUCCGUGCCAGCNGCCGCGGUAAUACGGAGGGUGCAAGCGUUAAUCGGAAUUACUGGGCGUAAUGCGCACGCAGGCGGUUUGUUAAGUCAGAUGUGAAAUCCCCGGGCUCAACCUGGGAACUGCAUCUUGUACUGGCAAGCUUGAGUCUCGUAGAGGGGGGUAGAAUUCCAUGUGUAGCAGUGAAAUGCGUAGAGAUCUGGUGGAAUACCGGUGGCGAAGGCGGCCCCCUGGACGAUGACUGACGCUCAGGUGCGAAAGCGUGGGUGAGCAAACAGGAUUAGAUACCCUUGUAGUCCACGCCGUAAACGAUGUCGACUUGGAGGUUGUGCCCUUGAUGCGUGGCUUCCGGGACUAACGCGUUAAGUCGACCGCCUGGGGAGUACGGCAGCAAGGUUAAAACUCAAAUGAAUUGACGGGGGCCAGCACAAGCGGUGGAGCAUGUGGUUUAAUUCGAUGCAACGCGAAGAACCUUACCUGGUCUUGACAUCCACGGAAGUUUUCAGAGAUGAGAAUGUGCCUUCGGGAACCGUGAGACAGGUGCUGCAUGGCUGUCGUCAGCUCGUGUUGUGAAAUGUUGGGUUAAGUCCCGCAACGAGCGCAACCCUUAUCCUUUGUUGCCAGCGGUCCGGCCGGGAACUCAAAGGAGACUGCAAGUGAUAAACUGGAGGAAGGUGGGGAUGACGUCAAGUCAUCAUGGCCCUUACGACCAGGGCUACACACGUGCUACAAUGGCGCAUACAAAGAGAAGCGACCUCGCGAGAGCAAGCGGACAUCAUAAAGUGCGUCGUAGUCCGGAUUGGAGUCUGCAACUCGACUCCAUGAAGUCGGAAUCGCUAGUAAUCGUGGAUCAGAAUGCCACGGUGAAUACGUUCCCGGGCCUUGUACACACCGCCCGUCACACCAUGGGAAUUGGUUUG
This 1087-nucleotide ribosomal RNA is filed under the name cf. Escherichia coli symbiont 1 of Acromyrmex octospinosus. RNAcentral's name for it is "bacterial SSU rRNA". It matches the Rfam family "Bacterial small subunit ribosomal RNA", at positions 338 to 1418 of the family's 1533-position model. Lineage: Bacteria; Pseudomonadati; Pseudomonadota; Gammaproteobacteria; Enterobacterales; Enterobacteriaceae. The record is from RNAcentral.